This is a non-coding RNA of Obelidium mucronatum, 77 nucleotides long. The record is from the annotation of a GenBank genome assembly. Lineage: Eukaryota; Fungi; Chytridiomycota; Chytridiomycetes; Chytridiales; Chytriomycetaceae.
UUUUAUUUACAUGCCAUAUGGGUAGUAGCGUGGGGCUGUUAACCUCAAGGUCACUGGUUCGAUCCCAGUAUCGAGCG